GCUGAAGGGGCGAGCCAAAAGACAGACAGCCAAUAAGGACGACAGGCUAUUGUUUGCAUUCCCCUUAAAUGUGACUUGGUUCGCCCAUGAUUGCACUUACUCGCAUUUAAUUACUCUGGUGGUGCUCUCAAGUAAGGAUUGCAUUUGAGAUUUUCUGAGAUUUAGUGUCAGUCAUGGAAAGUGUUCAAAGAAAACAUGUUUUGGAGAGCUCGGUGGUGCACGGGGUAAUUCCAGUCCAUCAAUCUGGCGUUUGUCGGAAUUUAUUUGGACCAAUCGAUAAUGACCAGUUGAGCCGCGAAUUGAAAGCAAAAUUGAAAGACAUUCACGAACAGGACAAAUGUAGGUGGAAUUUCAAUUUCGAGACUAAUAUGCCCCUGGUUGGAAGAUAUCAGUGGGAAGAACUGAACUCAUCCUCUGGACUAUAUCAGGAGUUGACACAUGUCGAAGAAAAGGAUGUUGGAGGGAACGUCGAUUAUAGGGACACUUGUGUUAUUGAAGAAACUGUAGGCCUACCUUUUUUAAUUGAGGUAAACCAAGAGAAUUGCUUUAAUAUCUCUAAUACAGCGGAACAUAGUCCUGUCACCCGACAGACAAAGAAACCCCACCCCAACAACAAUACACAAAUAACAGAUUUCUUUGUAAAGAGGAAAAGAACUUCGGAGACGAAGGGCACCAUUUUUCUCUCGCAUUUGCCACUGAGGAAACUCCACGCCAAAGAAUACGAUAGAGAAGGAAAUAACGUCAUCCGAUUCAGAUAAACUACGUCCAAAUUAAUACAACACAUUGAUUUGCACAAUUUCCAAUUAAGAUUAGGCUACCCUAUAACCCCAGGAGUCAGCAAAACGUAGCCAUAUGAGGCCUAUCGGACUUAAAUGCACUAUUGUCACCGGGUUCAAAAUGUUUGUGUACAUCUUUUGUAUCAACCCAUUUUUUGUAGGUAUUUAUAAUUUAUUUCGUUGUAUGUUUAUUUUAUUUAUAUAUCAUAUUUAAUUUCUUUUUGUAGCUGUAGGCCUACACCUUUUGUUUCUGUGUGUCUGAGACGGUAAUUUAUUUGUGUCCAAUUGUAUCACGUGAAAAAACGCAUUAAAAACAUCUUCUAUACCUUUUCAUAUUA
Long non-coding RNA from Hypomesus transpacificus, 1114 nucleotides. RefSeq lists it as uncharacterized. The transcript has 2 exons. The record is from RefSeq and is a predicted model, not a curated record. Lineage: Eukaryota; Metazoa; Chordata; Actinopteri; Osmeriformes; Osmeridae.